Molecule: long non-coding RNA, 6312 nt
Filed under: Sorghum bicolor (sorghum)
Lineage: Eukaryota; Viridiplantae; Streptophyta; Magnoliopsida; Poales; Poaceae
Description: long non-coding RNA (SBIC_LNC010972)
Source: RNAcentral
GACCUUCAUCGUGUGAUUUUCCUCGAUCCUUAGAGUCAGUGGAGCAUAAUCCCCGAGACUCGUGCUGAUUGGCCAGCAGAGGAGGGCGGGCGCCCAGGGGGGUAGGGCGGGCGCCCUGCCUCCGGGCCCGCUCGGCCUCCCGUUCGUUCCCGUGGCUUCUGGAGUCUUCUAGAUGAUAGAAAAUUGCGCGGCACGUUAAUAUCUCUAUGUAAUCCCGACGUGUGGGCCUUUCUUCCGUAUUUCCUGAUAACCCCCUGCAGAAAUAGACAAACACCAAAACUCGUGGAAUUCUGUCAGAUAAAACCUUAAGUCUGGGUGUUGGUUGCAUUUGGAUCCUUUUCCAUGAUUAAUUGAUGGUUAAAUGUGAGCAUUAAGGACCGUUAACAAGCUCCCCCAAGCUUAACCUUUGCUCGUCCCUGAGCAAAGCUAAAAUCAUCAAGAAAACAGGGGUUACUUUUAUGCCUUUUAUUAAAGGGGUUUUAAGUUAUCACUAAUUUCUUAAGUGAUUGAAAAACAGAAUGAUCAAGUCAAGCACUAUGUCUCAAGUUCUUCUGUCUUACCUUUGUUCUGGAGUUGUUUGUAAGUUUCCAAAAUAAAUCUGAGGCAUUUGCCUUCUUCUCGAAAGAUAUAUAAGUAGAGCUUUAAAAAGUUUAGCAUACUUACUUUGCAUUUUGCUAUGUCAUUGCUCGGAGCAAGGGAGAGGAAUGUCAUACUCCUAGAUCAAGACCUUUGACCUUUUUGAAGAGUUUGUCAUCUCUUACUGGCAUAUUGCUUAUUAGAGGGACCAUGGGCUAUCAUUUUUUUCCUUUUUUUCUCUUUUUUUUAGUCUCUUUUUUUCAAGUGGGCAGCAAGUACCCCUAAUUCUACUGUCGGACACAUGUCCAUUUUUUCCACUCAGGUGGGUAUCUUUGUACCCCUAAUUCUACUUCGGACACUUGUCCAUUUUUACCUCUCAUCUCACUCUUUUUUUUUCGAAUCAAAUUUUUGCAUAGUCCCAUGCCUCUAACGCAAUAAUACUUCGGAAGAGUGAAUCUUUUAUAUUUUUAAAACAAAAAGAUCUUGAUCUUGGGAGCAUGAUAAUUCUCUCAACCAAAACUAGAAGAAUUAACAAUGGCUUGAACAAAGAAAGUACCCACAGUUUUAAUAUUUAUUUCUUAUAAGACUCUAGGUAUUAUGAUCUCAUAUAUUUUUUUUAUGAAUUUUUAGAUUUUCAAAAGAUAAAAUCUCCAGAACUCUAGCAAAACCUGGAACAAGUUAAAUAGUAGCUGAGACCUUCUCAUAUCAUGUUUGUCAAUUACCUAGACUUGAAUCAAACUUUCUUUUUAUUUUAUUUAAAACUUAGUAUUACAUAAAACUAUUAUAUAUUACUCAAAACAAAAACUGUGUUUGGUUUCAUGGUUAUGCAUUUUUUUUAUUUCCGAAUACUAGUAAAUAAAACUAAGAAAGAAAAAUAAUACUUAUCUUGAUUUAUUUUUUUUUAUUUAGCAAACUAAGCAAAGAUAUAUAUAUAAGCAUAAAAUCUUUAUUUGGGUUUUUAUGAUUAUGCAUCUUUUUAUUAUUUGAGUAAAGUAUAAACGUGAGUAGAACACUUAGCUGGAUAAAUGGGGGUGCUCUCCCCCAAGCUGGAUUUUGACAUAAUUUCUUCUGAUGUGGCUAGUAGGUGGCGGAGGUGUAUUUGAAUGUCGGCAGCACUCUGACAGCGAUUAGGAUGUCCUUCGUCUGCUAGUCUUCUUUGAUCCUUGAAUUCUGUGGAGCUCAAAUAGACAACAAAGCUUUGUGGAACUAGUUAAGUGUUAGCAUAAAUAUCUAGCCUUUAUCAUGUUGAGCCUCCUCAAUAAAUGUUACUCAUUAGUAGGAUCAUAAUUUUAUUUUUAUAGGACAGGAAUAUAUUUAUUUUAUUUUUAUGCCACCACACUGAAUGUACUUAUGGGUUUUAUGCCAUGAGCAUACUCACAUGGGGCUUAACAUUUUUAUUUUCUUUUCAAGAUGAUAUAAACCUGACUAACUAAGUAAACUAUUUUAAAAUAAUUGAAAGAAAAAGAUAACUACCAAGUUUACCUCUUGGCAAGGCGUUCGGUGUUUUUAAAUCCUCCGAACGGGACUCUCUGUUUUCUCAUUCGUCCUGGGAUUCACUAGAUGGCGUAGUCGGUGGUUCCGGCAGCGCCUGGUCUUCAUGUAUAACUAUCUUCUCUCUCCACACCUGACUCGGUGCUACGGUCUCCUCAGGACAGUUCUAUUCAAGUUGUAUGUCUUCAGACCUUACAACUUCUCCUUCAUAGUCUACCCAUCCGUCCUUGAUGAUUUGCCUUCUCUGAUUGCGGUUGCGUCGUCUUCUUCUUGUCCUGACCUGCUUAGAAUCUUUAACUAUAUAGUUAGAGUCAGUAAAAUAGCGGCGUACCUUCUCAGAGGGGAAAUGCAUGUGGACUCCGCCGGUUCCAAUAUAGAUGAUUGCUUUAACGGUGCUAAGGAACAGUCUUCCAAGGAUGAUGGGUGGAUCAUACUCGUCUUCUCCCAUAUCAAUAACCUAAAAAUCUUUCGGAAUGUCUGAUCUGCCAUCUGGAGUUGAAUGUAUGUCGGUUUUAGGGGCAUUGUUCCGAAUAGGAGCUGAUAGGUGACUGGCGGCCAUUAUGUUGACCUUAGAUCCGGUGUCGUAGAGUGUCUUCUGAAAAGAAUAUCCGUUGAUUGUGCACACGAUGCUUGGAACACCAGGGUCGUCCUUCUUGAUCAAAAAAGGUGACUUGAGUUGACGAUCUUGGCAUCCUUGAGCUGCAGUGACCAUCUUAGCUGACUCGGUACACAUUUGCUUGUUCCUGUUCCUCCUGUUGGUCCUCUUCCUUGGUUCAUGUCGGGAGUGCUCUGAGAUUGUGUAGUCUUGUUCUUAAAGGAAAAUGUCUCAUUUCUCCCUUUGAUGUAGAAACUGAUCUUGGCAGCACUAGCGUAGAUGACAGCUCCCAAGGUGUUCAGGAAUGGCCUCCCUAAGAUGGGUGCCCUCUCAUCAGUACCAGUCUCUAUCACCACGAAGUUUGCUGGGGUGUACAAGGUACCAACUCGAACGCAGAGGUUCUUCAAUAUUCCCUUUGGGAAACUUAGUGUCUGAUCUGCAGGCUUGGGCAUAAUGUUGACGCUGGAGCCAAAGUCGCAGAGUGCUUCUAGGAAGUCCACCAUGCCGAUGGAGAUCGGGAUGAUGGGGCGUCCUGGAUUGUCUCUCUUGGCCGGCAGAAGGUCAGUAAUUACUUCCACAACGGGGUUACUCCAAUAGUUACGUCCUCAAGCAUCUCAGGGCAGUGAUUGUCUAAGUGUUCAGUAUCUCCAGUGUGUUUGUGCUCGUAGAUCUAGGUUCUUCACUUGGUGGAGUCUGGGAGUUGUAAAAGUCCUUCAUAUUUUGCUCGAAGUGUACCUGCUCAUAGAGACAAGGCAGAGAUCAAGUGCAUUAGCCCUGUUGGUGGAAAACACCAACAGAACCAAAAGUGUAUUUGCUCUCUCUAAUCUUAAGCAUAGUGAGCAAGACAAAAGUUGAUGGAUAAUAAGAUCAUGAGUGUAACAUUUAAAACAUUUGUCAGAUCAGAUCACUCAACCUAAUGGAAAGAUAAUCUAUCUAUACUUAUCUCUUUUUUUUUAUAUAUAUCUUCCAAAGAUUGUGUGUGCAACAUUUAGUGUGGGAUCACAAAGGUGAAAGGACUAAACAUAUUGAAUCGAUUAGGUUGGUUAAUCUAGAAUUGUAAAUCAUACAUGUUUGUCUCUUUUAUUCAUGUGAAUGCCAGAACCAAGGAAAAGCUUAUAGAAGUGAUAGUCAAGUACCUUAAGAUGUUACCUUACUUGAAGAGUGAUGGUACAGUAUUACCUUGUGGAAGCUUUCCUUUCUUAGUGGUUGUGCAUCGUGUUUGUGGCACCGUCCAUGGAUCAUCUCUUGUGAGCUAUGCCUUCCUUGUGUAGAUUGUUAAACUUCAUGUGUCUCUCUCUUUGUCAAAAAUGUGAGUGUAUCUCAGGACUUCCCAGGUCGAUAGUGAAAGUUUUCCUGCAGGGGUUAGUCCAACAAAAUAUCCCAUAUCUACUAUAGCAUACUAUCGGCUCAAAAAUCAACCUAGACACCAUGUCUAAUUUGAUUCAGGAGGGCUUUUUUAACCUAAGCACCAUGCUUAAUUUAAAACCCCUUGGAAGUAAGAUCAUCAUUCCUAAACUAAGCACCAAGCUUAAUUAAGAGAUAAAUGAAACUACUCCAAACCUAAACAUAUACUAAAGCAAAUAAAGGUAGCAUGAGAGCAUUUGUAGAGAUCUACUCAAGUGGAGAUGAAGUAGUGUGAUUAGUAUUUAACAAAUUGAGCAUGUCUCAAAGGUAGGGACAACCAACAUAGCAACAUAGCAAAUGAUGUUUUUAUGUAAAGUACUCCCCCAAGCUUGAAUUUUGCAAAAUUCAAGUUUGGAUGAAUUUAAUUCAAUGUUGUAUGAUGAUUGGUUGGACAUACCUUGUGCUUGUCAUUCAUCCGAUCUUCUUGCUCCAAUCCUGGAAAGGUUAGUGACAAGAAUACCCGAAGGAAUUUUUACAAUUAUCCUUAUAUGCUCAAAACACAAGGUAAUAUUGCAAAUAAUUAAAAGCUCAUGUUACUAUCUGAUCAGUGCUUGUUUUAGGACACUAAGCUUGUCCUUGGGAAACCAUCGAUUUAUGUCAGUGAAGUGGUUUCCCCUCCAACGCUAACCUAUAUCAAGAUCGACUCAACGAGAUCUGCAAUAUUUCUUAUAGACAUAUGCAUCGACAACCGCCCAUUUAAAGUUUUUAUAAAUAGAAAGGAAGUGGGGGUUGGAGAUCUCGAAUGUGGUGAUGUUGGAGAGACCAAUGGAUUGUGAAGAUGUUGCAUAUGAGCAUGGAGUAAAUGGAGUGGCUAUGAAAUAAAUUCCAUGCUCAUUAAUGCUUAGAGUGAAAUCCAUGUGGUAUGGUGAAAAUGAUAAGGUGAGUGUGGUAAACAAGGAAAAGAAAAAGGAUACACGGACGACUUGGUUCGAAACUAGCACAUCUACCGUUCCCCGGCAGCGGCGCCAGAAAGCUUGUUGGGUAUUUUAAACGCAAACAGAAAAAUCCGCAAGCGCACGGAUACCGAUGUAGCCUUCACCCGGGAGUAUUCCAGAGUAUCGAUUUUCCACAGGGAACGUGAGUGUACUAAUUAAGAUCCAAGAUCACCCAAGGAUAACUAUAUAAUUAUUUUUGGUGGGAAGAGAGGAAGUUUCCUGAGAGUUCUCUAGUUGAUCUAAGAAUCAAGAAUUACUUCAAGAUUAUCUAUAUCGGGACAUCAGAGCACUAACCACAGAAAGAGAUGAGAAGGGGGCUAGGAAGGUCUGACUACGGUCCUACAAACACCGAUCCGAACGUGGUGGAAUACGUCGACCGUUAGGGCUGUCACUACCCUAAGGCUACCACAACAAUCCGCAGGAUUGGGUGCAAUUCCAGGUAAUCGCAAGACUAAACACCAUGUCUAAUCUAUUAAUUACUACUCUAGCGUUAUAAAGACUAGAGCACUUGAUGCAAGCGGGAAUCCAAUAAAUAACUUGAAUGUAAAUAAAAGUAAUUAGAGAACUCAGGAGUUAUGAAUUGAAGAACCUGGAGAACGAUGAAGAACGAACCAGAUGCUGCAAAAGUAUAAUGUUGAGGAAGAUCCGACAGAUCCGGCUCCUCCUCCGCUCUCCUCUUCUCUCUCCCUAUUUUCUAGAUUACAACUAGAACUAACUUGAACUAGAACUAGGGGAACUAGAACUAGAACUAGAUGAACUAGAACUAGAUCUAGAUGAACUAGAGGUAGAACUAGAAGAACUAGAGGGAUCCUCUCUACUUGGAUGAAGAAUUGAAACCCUAGCUUUGAUUCUGUAGAAGAGGUAUGAUCUCCAGGGGCUGGUGGGGGUCUGCUUAUAUAGUCCAGGAAGAGUAGCCCCCAAGAAAUCUAGGAAGAGUAGCCCCCAAGAAAUCUAGGAAGAGUAGCUCCCAAGGAAUUUCACCAUCCGAUCAAACCGACCUUCAUCGUGUGAUUUUCCUCGAUCCUUAGAGUCGGUGGAGCAUAAUCCCCGAGACUCGUGCUGAUUGGCCAGCAGAGGAGGGCGGGCGCCCAGGGGGUAGGGCAGGCGCCCUGCCUCCGGGCCCGCUCGGCCUCCCGUUCGUUCCCGUGGCUUCUGGAGUCUUCUAGAUGAUAGAAAAUUGCGCGGCACGUUAAUAUCUCUAUGUAAUCCCGACGUGUGGGUCUUUCUUCCGUAUUUCCUGAUAACCCCCUGCAGAAAUAGACAAACACCAAAACUCGUGGAAUUCUGUCAGAUAAAACCUUAAGUCUGGGU